This 800-nucleotide ribosomal RNA is filed under the name uncultured bacterium. Its description in RNAcentral is "bacterial SSU rRNA". It matches the Rfam family "Bacterial small subunit ribosomal RNA", at positions 8 to 842 of the family's 1533-position model. The record is from RNAcentral.
AGAGUUUGAUCCUGGCUCAGGGUGAACGCUGGCGGCGUGCCUAAGACAUGCGAGUCGAACGGGCCUGAUUUCGGUCAGGCUAGUGGCGGACGGGUGAGUAACACGUGGGUGAUCUACCCCAAAGUCUGGGACAACUAGGGGAAACCUUAGCUAAUCCCGGAUGGUGAGGCUUCUCCUGUGAAGUCUCUAAAGAUUUAUCGCUUUGGGAUGAGCCCGCGGCGCAUCAGCUAGUUGGUGGGGUAAUGGCCUACCAAGGCGACGACGCGUAGCUGGUCUGAGAGGACGACCAGCCACAGGAGCACUGAGACACGGGCUCCACUCCUACGGGAGGCAGCAGUUAGGAAUCUUCGUCAAUGGGCGAAAGCCUGAACGAGCGACGCCGCUUGAGGGACGAAGCCCUUCGGGGUGUAAACCUCUGAACAGGGGACGAUGAUGACGGUACCCUGCUAAUAGCACCGGCUAACUCCGUGCCAGCAGCCGCGGUAAUACGGAGGGUGCGAGCGUUACCCGGAUUUACUGGGCGUAAAGGGCGUGUAGGCGGUUUUCUAAGUCCGGGGCUAAAGACCAGGGCUCAACCCUGGGUUUGCCUUGGAUACUGGAAAGCUCGACGGCUGGAGGGGGCAGCGGAAUUUCCGGAGUAGCGGUGAAAUGCGCAGAUACCGGAAGGAACGCCAAUAGCGAAGGCAGCUGCCUGGACAGUACGUGACGCUGAGGCGCGAAAGCGUGGGGAGCAAACCGGAUUAGAUACCCGGGUAGUCCACGCCCUAAACGAUGAGUGCUGGGUGUCCGGCGUUUGCCGG